This 192-nucleotide non-coding RNA is filed under the name Winogradskyella sp. The record is from RNAcentral. Lineage: Bacteria; Pseudomonadati; Bacteroidota; Flavobacteriia; Flavobacteriales; Flavobacteriaceae.
AGUUUUGCGCCGAAAUUAGGUUUCAUUCGUUUCACCGAAUGGAUUAAAAGGGAAUCUGGUGAGAAUCCAGAGCUGUUCCCGCAACUGUAAGCUAUAAGGCUUGUUAUUACCUUCAAUGUCACUGGAAUUUUAUUCUGGGAAGACCAAUAACAAGACGCAAGUCAGGAGACCUGCCAAUUUCAACAUAGAAGU